GACGAACCGUGCGAACGUUGUUCGGAAUCACUGGGCUUAAAGGGCGCGUAGGCGGGCUGCCGCGUCCGGGGUGAAAUCCCACGGCUCAACCGUGGAACGGCCUCGGAUACGGGCGGCCUCGAGGGGGGUAGGGGCAUCUGGAACUGUGAGUGGAGCGGUGAAAUGCGUUGAUAUUCACAGGAACUCCGGUGGCGAAGGCGAGGUGCUGGACCCCUUCUGACGCUGAGGCGCGAAAGCCAGGGGAGCAAACGGG
RNAcentral lists this ribosomal RNA (253 nucleotides) under uncultured bacterium. Its description in RNAcentral is "partial 16S ribosomal RNA". It matches the Rfam family "Bacterial small subunit ribosomal RNA", at positions 524 to 776 of the family's 1533-position model. The record is from RNAcentral.